Candidatus Tagabacteria bacterium is the source of this 72-nucleotide non-coding RNA. The record is from Rfam. NCBI's taxonomy places the organism in Bacteria, Candidatus Tagaibacteriota.
GCCCUCAUAGUUCAACGGAUAGAACAGCUCCCUUCUAAGGAGCAAAUCUAGGUUCGAUUCCUGGUGAGGGCG